AAGGUUUUAAGUUAAACAAACUAGGGGCCUUCAAAGCCCUCAAUGGAAUUUUAUCCAAACCUUG
RNAcentral lists this transfer RNA (64 nucleotides) under Eurythoe complanata. Its description in RNAcentral is "tRNA-Trp". Lineage: Eukaryota; Metazoa; Annelida; Polychaeta; Eunicida; Amphinomidae. The record is from RNAcentral.